This 100-nucleotide small nuclear RNA is filed under the name Peromyscus maniculatus bairdii (prairie deer mouse). The record is from RNAcentral. Lineage: Eukaryota; Metazoa; Chordata; Mammalia; Rodentia; Cricetidae.
GUGCUCGCUCGGCAGCACUAAAAUUGAAAUGAUACAGAGAAGAUUAGCAUGGCCCCUGCGCAAGAAUAACACACAAAUUCGUGAAGCGUUCCAUAUUUUU